GGUUAAGCGACUAAGCGUACACGGUGGAUGCCCUGGCAGUCAGAGGCGAUGAAGGACGUGCUAAUCUGCGAUAAGCGUCGGUAAGGUGAUAUGAACCGUUAUAACCGGCGAUUUCCGAAUGGGGAAACCCAGUGUGAUUCGUCACACUAUCAUUACGUGAAUACAUAGCGUAAUGAAGCGAACCGGGGGAACUGAAACAUCUAAGUACCCCGAGGAAAAGAAAUCAACCGAGAUUCCCCCAGUAGCGGCGAGCGAACGGGGAGCAGCCCAGAGUCUGAAUCAGCUUGUGUGUUAGUGGAACGGUCUGGAAAGUCCGACGGUACAGGGUGAUAGUCCCGUACACCAAAAUGCACAGGUUGUGAACUCGAAGAGUAGGGCGGGACACGUGGUAUCCUGUCUGAAUAUGGGGGGACCAUCCUCCAAGGCUAAAUACUCCUGACUGACCGAUAGUGAACCAGUACCGUGAGGGAAAGGCGAAAAGAACCCCGGCGAGGGGAGUGAAAAAGAACCUGAAACCGUGUACGUACAAGCAGUGGGAGCAUCCUUUUGGGUGUGACUGCGUACCUUUUGUAUAAUGGGUCAGCGACUUAUAUUCUGUAGCAAGGUUAACCGUAUAGGGGAGCCGAAGGGAAACCGAGUCUUAACUGGGCGUUAAGUUGCAGGGUAUAGACCCGAAACCCGGUGAUCUAGCCAUGGGCAGGUUGAAGGUUGGGUAACACUAACUGGAGGACCGAACCGACUAAUGUUGAAAAAUUAGCGGAUGACUUGUGGCUGGGGGUGAAAGGCCAAUCAAACCGGGAGAUAGCUGGUUCUCCCCGAAAGCUAUUUAGGUAGCGCCUCGUGAAUUCAUCUUCGGGGGUAGAGCACUGUUUCGGCUAGGGGGUCAUCCCGACUUACCAACCCGAUGCAAACUGCGAAUACCGAAGAAUGUUAUCACGGGAGACACACGGCGGGUGCUAACGUCCGUCGUGAAGAGGGAAACAACCCAGACCGCCAGCUAAGGUCCCAAAGUCAUGGUUAAGUGGGAAACGAUGUGGGAAGGCACAGACAGCCAGGAUGUUGGCUUAGAAGCAGCCAUCAUUUAAAGAAAGCGUAAUAGCUCACUGGUCGAGUCGGCCUGCGCGGAAGAUGUAACGGGGCUAAACCAUGCACCGAAGCUGCGGCAGCGACACUAUGUGUUGUUGGGUAGGGGAGCGUUCUGUAAGCCGUUGAAGGUGUAUCGUGAGGUAUGCUGGAGGUAUCAGAAGUGCGAAUGCUGACAUAAGUAACGAUAAUGCGGGUGAAAAACCCGCACGCCGGAAGACCAAGGGUUCCUGUCCAACGUUAAUCGGGGCAGGGUGAGUCGACCCCUAAGGCGAGGCCGAAAGGCGUAGUCGAUGGGAAACAGGUUAAUAUUCCUGUACUUGGUGUUACUGCGAAGGGGGGACGGAGAAGGCUAUGUUAGCCGGGCGACGGUUGUCCCGGUUUAAGCAUGUAGGCGGAGGUUCCAGGUAAAUCCGGUACCUUUUUAACGCUGAGGUGUGAUGACGAGGCACUACGGUGCUGAAGUAACAAAUGCCCUGCUUCCAGGAAAAGCCUCUAAGCAUCAGGUAACACGAAAUCGUACCCCAAACCGACACAGGUGGUCAGGUAGAGAAUACCAAGGCGCUUGAGAGAACUCGGGUGAAGGAACUAGGCAAAAUGGUGCCGUAACUUCGGGAGAAGGCACGCUGAUAUGUAGGUGAAGUGAUUUACUCAUGGAGCUGAAAUCAGUCGAAGAUACCAGCUGGCUGCAACUGUUUAUUAAAAACACAGCACUGUGCAAACACGAAAGUGGACGUAUACGGUGUGACGCCUGCCCGGUGCCGGAAGGUUAAUUGAUGGGGUUAUCCGUAAGGAGAAGCUCUUGAUCGAAGCCCCGGUAAACGGCGGCCGUAACUAUAACGGUCCUAAGGUAGCGAAAUUCCUUGUCGGGUAAGUUCCGACCUGCACGAAUGGCGUAAUGAUGGCCAGGCUGUCUCCACCCGAGACUCAGUGAAAUUGAACUCGCUGUGAAGAUGCAGUGUACCCGCGGCAAGACGGAAAGACCCCGUGAACCUUUACUAUAGCUUGACACUGAACACUGGUCCUUGAUGUGUAGGAUAGGUGGGAGGCUUUGAAGUGUGGACGCCAGUCUGCAUGGAGCCAUCCUUGAAAUACCACCCUUUAAUGGCUGGUGUUCUAACGUGGACCCGUUACCCGGGUUGCGGACAGUGUCUGGUGGGUAGUUUGACUGGGGCGGUCUCCUCCUAAAGAGUAACGGAGGAGCACGAAGGUUAGCUAAUCCUGGUCGGACAUCAGGAGGUUAGUGCAAAGGCAUAAGCUAGCUUGACUGCGAGAGUGACGGCUCGAGCAGGUGCGAAAGCAGGUCUUAGUGAUCCGGUGGUUCUGAAUGGAAGGGCCAUCGCUCAACGGAUAAAAGGUACUCCGGGGAUAACAGGCUGAUACCGCCCAAGAGUUCAUAUCGACGGCGGUGUUUGGCACCUCGAUGUCGGCUCAUCACAUCCUGGGGCUGAAGUAGGUCCCAAGGGUAUGGCUGUUCGCCAUUUAAAGUGGUACGCGAGCUGGGUUUAGAACGUCGUGAGACAGUUCGGUCCCUAUCUGCCGUGGGCGCUGGAGAAUUGAGGGGGGCUGCUCCUAGUACGAGAGGACCGGAGUGGACGCAUCACUGGUGUUCGGGUUGUCAUGCCAAUGGCAUUGCCCGGUAGCUAAAUGCGGAAGAGAUAAGUGCUGAAAGCAUCUAAGCACGAAACUUGCCCCGAGAUGAGUUCUCCCUGAGACUUUAAGUCUCCUGAAGGAACGUUAAAGACGAUGACGUUGAUAGGUCGGGUGUGUAAGUGUAGCGAUACAUUGAGCUAACCGAUACUAAUGAACCGUGAGGCUUAACCUU
RNAcentral lists this ribosomal RNA (2908 nucleotides) under Citrobacter freundii. Its description in RNAcentral is "23S ribosomal RNA". It matches the Rfam family "Bacterial large subunit ribosomal RNA". Lineage: Bacteria; Pseudomonadati; Pseudomonadota; Gammaproteobacteria; Enterobacterales; Enterobacteriaceae. The record is from RNAcentral.